Molecule: long non-coding RNA, 1091 nt
Filed under: Ananas comosus (pineapple)
Lineage: Eukaryota; Viridiplantae; Streptophyta; Magnoliopsida; Poales; Bromeliaceae
Description: long non-coding RNA (ACOM_LNC002826)
Source: RNAcentral
AGGGGCUCUGUUUUCAACAUGCUUGGAGCAACUAUUCUCCACAAAGCACUCAUGCUUUAAUUUGGUCUCACAAAGCCAAACAAAGUGGCUAAACUUUGAAUGCAGGUAUGUCAAAGUGUAGGUUGCCAAAACAUUUGAUCAUCUGUUUAUGCUUUAUAUAUAUAAGUAUAUCUGUAGUAGACCAAAACCUAUGAUCAAAAAUCAAAAUAAAGUGAAAUAAAAUAAAAGAAAUGUUACCCAAACCUCCAAAUGGCUCCUACCACUACUGUUCUUUACUAUCCAAUUUUAUUAGGAAAAACUUCAAAUUCCUCCCUUGUGGUUUCACUUUCUUUCGCUUUAGUAUCCUGUGGUUUAAAAUGUAUCAAGUUAGUACACUGUGGUUUCUCACUUUAUUAUUUUAGUACCCUGUGGUUUAAAGUGUAUCAAGUUAGUACCCUAUGGAUUUGCACUUUAUCACUUUAGUAUCCUAUGGUUCCGCACUUUAUCACUUUAGUGCCCUGUGGUUUAAAAACGACAGGGUACUAACUUAAUACAAAAAUAAAAUCACAGAAUACUAACUUGAUACAAAAAAUAAAACCACAAAUUUUAUGACCCUUUAAUAGUUUGGUUAGUGAUAUAAAAAAAAAAUAUGAAAUUUGAUUUCUAAAUAGUUUAAAUGAUUUACAUUACAUUCAACAGUACCAAUUAUCGAUUUGAAAGCUCAAUCAUCAAAAAUAAAUUGAUGGUGAACCUAACGGUUUACUACUGAUAGUAAUCCAGUCAAACUCAUUAUAUAUCAUUAUUUUUUAAAAAUAUUUUCAAAUAAUAUAUAUAUAUAUAUAUAUAAUAUGGCUGGAAUACUAUCAAUAGCAUCAAGCUAUUUAUGCUAUUAGGUUUUCGGUCCUUAGAUGAAAAAAUGUACGGUUACGAUGAUGUAGGUUGUCUAGGGUUGAGUAAGUUAUUGGUUGAACAGUAUAAUUUAACAGGUAAAAAUAGUCAAAGGGUUAAAUCUAACGACGGAAAUUAAAUUCGGUAGCACCGAGUACUUGGUCCUAUCGAUAGUAUCCCAAUCGGACUCUACAUAGAUAUAAUAUUAAACAGACCGUACAUUU